GAUGAACGCUGGCGGCGUGCCUAAUACAUGCAAGUCGAGCGAACGGACGAGAAGCUUGCUUCUCUGAUGUUAGCGGCGGACGGGUGAGUAACACGUGGAUAACCUACCUAUAAGACUGGGAUAACUUCGGGAAACCGGAGCUAAUACCGGAUAAUAGUUUGAACCGCAUGGUUCAAAAGUGAAAGACGGUCUUGCUGUCACUUAUAGAUGGAUCCGCGCUGCAUUAGCUAGUUGGUAAGGUAACGGCUUACCAAGGCAACGAUGCAUAGCCGACCUGAGAGGGUGAUCGGCCACACUGGAACUGAGACACGGUCCAGACUCCUACGGGAGGCAGCAGUAGGGAAUCUUCCGCAAUGGGCGAAAGCCUGACGGAGCAACGCCGCGUGAGUGAUGAAGGUCUUCGGAUCGUAAAACUCUGUUAUUAGGGAAGAACAUAUGUGUAAGUAACUGUGCACAUCUUGACGGUACCUAAUCAGAAAGCCACGGCUAACUACGUG
Molecule: ribosomal RNA, 497 nt
Filed under: uncultured bacterium
Lineage: Bacteria
Description: partial 16S ribosomal RNA
Rfam family: Bacterial small subunit ribosomal RNA
Source: RNAcentral